GCCAGAGUGGCAUAGUAGUUUGAGCAGCGGACUGUGACUCUGGAGACCUGGGUUUGAUUCCCAGCUCAGCCA
This is a non-coding RNA of Phrynosoma platyrhinos (Desert horned lizard), 72 nucleotides long. The record is from the annotation of a GenBank genome assembly. Lineage: Eukaryota; Metazoa; Chordata; Lepidosauria; Squamata; Phrynosomatidae.